RNAcentral lists this ribosomal RNA (661 nucleotides) under uncultured archaeon. RNAcentral describes it as "bacterial SSU rRNA". It matches the Rfam family "Archaeal small subunit ribosomal RNA", at positions 1 to 650 of the family's 1478-position model. The record is from RNAcentral.
UCCGGUUGAUCCUGCCAGAGGCCGCUGCUAUCCGGCUGGGACUAAGCCAUGCUAGUCUAGGGGCUUGUACCCCUUCGGGGGUGCAAGCACCGGCGGACGGCUCAGUAACACGUGGACAACCUGCCCUCGGGUGGGGGAUAACCCCGGGAAACUGGGGCUAAUCCCCCAUAGGUGAUGGGUGCUGGAAUGCCCCAUCUCCGAAAGCGCUCAGCGCCCGAGGAUGGGUCUGCGGCGGAUUAGGUAGUUGGUGGGGUAACGGCCCACCAAGCCUAAGAUCCGUACGGGCUGUGGGAGCAGGAGCCCGGAGAUGGACCCUGAGACAAGGGUCCAGGCCCUACGGGGCGCAGCAGGCGCGAAACCUCCGCAAUGCGGGAAACCGCGACGGGGUUAGCCGGAGUGCCCGUGCAUUGCACGGGCUGUCGGGGUGCCUAAACAGCACCCCAUAGCAAGGGCCGGGCAAGGCCGGUGGCAGCCGCCGCGGUAAGACCGGCGGCCCGAGUGGCGGCCACUCUUAUUGGGCCUAAAGCGUCCGUAGCCGGCCCAGUAAGUCCCCCGGGAAAUCUGGUCGCUUAACGAUCAGACUUCCGGGGGAUACUGCUGGGCUAGGGACCGGGAGAGGCCGAGGGUAUUCCCGGGGUAGGGGUGAAAUCCUGUAAUCCCG